This 253-nucleotide ribosomal RNA is filed under the name uncultured bacterium. RNAcentral's name for it is "partial 16S ribosomal RNA". It matches the Rfam family "Bacterial small subunit ribosomal RNA", at positions 524 to 776 of the family's 1533-position model. The record is from RNAcentral.
UACGAGGGGGGCGAGCGUUGUUCGGAUUUACUGGGCGUAAAGGGCGCGUAGGCGGUUCUGUUUGUCGAGUGUGAAAGCCCCGGGCUUAACCUGGGAACUGCGCUCGAGACGGCGGGACUAGAGAUCGGGAGAGGAGAGUGGAAUUCCCAGUGUAGAGGUGAAAUUCGUAGAUAUUGGGAAGAACACCGGUGGCGAAGGCGGCUCUCUGGACCGAUACUGACGCUGAGGCGCGAAAGCGUGGGGAGCAAACAGG